Molecule: ribosomal RNA, 376 nt
Filed under: uncultured bacterium
Lineage: Bacteria
Description: bacterial SSU rRNA
Rfam family: Bacterial small subunit ribosomal RNA
Source: RNAcentral
UACGAACCGUCCAAACGUUAUUCGGAUUUAUUGGGCUUAAAGGGUAUGUAGGCGGCGCUGUCAGUCGGGUGUGAAAUCCCUCGGCUCAACCGAGGAACUGCGCCCGAUACUGCAGUGCUUGAGGGAGACAGAGGUAAGCGGAACUGAUGGUGGAGCGGUGAAAUGCGUUGAUAUCAUCAGGAACACCAGUGGCGAAAGCGGCUUACUGGGUCUCUUCUGACGCUGAGAUACGAAAGCUAGGGGAGCGAACGGGAUUAGAUACCCCGGUAGUCCUAGCUGUAAACGAUGAGCACUUGAUCGAGGGGCCCCCCAUAGCCUCUCGGUCGUAGCGAAAGUGAUAAGUGCUCCGCCUGGGGAGUAUGGUCGCAAGGCUGAA